UACGGGAGGCAGCAGUGAGGAAUAUUGGUCAAUGGGCGAGAGCCUGAACCAGCCAAGUAGCGUGAAGGAUGACUGCCCUAUGGGUUGUAAACUUCUUUUAUAAAGGAAUAAAGUCGGGUAUGCAUACCCGUUUGCAUGUACUUUAUGAAUAAGGAUCGGCUAACUCCGUGCCAGCAGCCGCGGUAAUACGGAGGAUCCGAGCGUUAUCCGGAUUUAUUGGGUUUAAAGGGAGCGUAGAUGGAUGUUUAAGUCAGUUGUGAAAGUUUGCGGCUCAACCGUAAAAUUGCAGUUGAUACUGGAUAUCUUGAGUGCAGUUGAGGCAGGCGGAAUUCGUGGUGUAGCGGUGAAAUGCUUAGAUAUCACGAAGAACUCCGAUUGCGAAGGCAGCCUGCUAAGCUGCAACUGACAUUGAGGCUCGAAAGUGUGGGUAUCAAACAGGAUUAGAUACCCUGGUAGUCCACACGGUAAACGAUGAAUACUCGCUGUUUGCGAUAUACAGCAAGCGGCCAAGCGAAAGCGUUAAGUAUUCCACCUGGGG
This 538-nucleotide ribosomal RNA is filed under the name uncultured bacterium. RNAcentral's name for it is "bacterial SSU rRNA". It matches the Rfam family "Bacterial small subunit ribosomal RNA", at positions 340 to 878 of the family's 1533-position model. The record is from RNAcentral.